AGUGGCGGACGGGUGAGGAAUACGUGGGAAUCUGCCCAGUCGUGGGGGAUAACGUAGGGAAACUUACGCUAAUACCGCAUGCGCCCUUCGGGGGAAAGCCGGGGACCUUCGGGCCUGGCGCGAUUGGAUGAGCCCACGUCGGAUUAGCUAGUUGGCGGGGUAAAGGCCCACCAAGGCGACGAUCCGUAGCUGGUCUGAGAGGAUGAUCAGCCACACUGGAACUGAGACACGGUCCAGACUCCUACGGGAGGCAGCAGUAGGGAAUAUUGGACAAUGGGCGCAAGCCUGAUCCAGCCAUGCCGCGUGAGUGAAGAAGGCCCUCGGGUUGUAAAGCUCUUUUGUCCGGAAAGAAAAGCACCCGGUUAAUACCUGGGUGUCCUGACGGUACCGGAAGAAUAAGCACCGGCUAACUUCGUGCCAGCAGCCGCGGUAAUACGAAGGGUGCAAGCGUUACUCGGAAUUACUGGGCGUAAAGCGUGCGUAGGUGGUUCGUUAAGUCUGAUGUGAAAGCCCUGGGCUCAACCUGGGAAUGGCAUUGGAUACUGGCGGGCUAGAGUGCGGUAGAGGGCAGUGGAAUUCCCGGUGUAGCAGUGAAAUGCGUAGAGAUCGGGAGGAACAUCUGUGGCGAAGGCGACUGCCUGGACCAGCACUGACACUGAGGCACGAAAGCGUGGGGAGCAAACAGGAUUAGAUACCCUGUAGUCCACGCCCU
This 712-nucleotide ribosomal RNA is filed under the name uncultured Thermomonas sp. RNAcentral's name for it is "bacterial SSU rRNA". It matches the Rfam family "Bacterial small subunit ribosomal RNA", at positions 94 to 803 of the family's 1533-position model. The record is from RNAcentral. Lineage: Bacteria; Pseudomonadati; Pseudomonadota; Gammaproteobacteria; Lysobacterales; Lysobacteraceae.